RNAcentral lists this transfer RNA (20 nucleotides) under Dittrichia viscosa. RNAcentral's name for it is "partial tRNA-Leu". The record is from RNAcentral. Lineage: Eukaryota; Viridiplantae; Streptophyta; Magnoliopsida; Asterales; Asteraceae.
AAUCCGUCGAUUUCAAAAAU